UACGGAGGGGGCUAGCGUUGUUCGGAAUUACUGGGCGUAAAGCGCGCGUAGGCGGCCCUGCAAGUCGGGGGUGAAAGCCCGAGGCUCAACCUCGGAACUGCCUUCGAUACUGCGGGUCUCGAGUCCGGGAGAGGUGAGUGGAAUUCCUAGUGUAGAGGUGAAAUUCGUAGAUAUUAGGAAGAACACCAGUGGCGAAGGCGACUUACUGGACUGUAACUGACGCUGAGGCAUGAAAGCGUGGGGAGCAAACAGG
RNAcentral lists this ribosomal RNA (253 nucleotides) under uncultured bacterium. RNAcentral's name for it is "partial 16S ribosomal RNA". It matches the Rfam family "Bacterial small subunit ribosomal RNA", at positions 524 to 776 of the family's 1533-position model. The record is from RNAcentral.